RNAcentral lists this ribosomal RNA (253 nucleotides) under uncultured prokaryote. Its description in RNAcentral is "partial 16S ribosomal RNA". It matches the Rfam family "Bacterial small subunit ribosomal RNA", at positions 525 to 777 of the family's 1533-position model. The record is from RNAcentral.
ACGGAGGGGGCUAGCGUUGUUCGGAAUUACUGGGCGUAAAGCGCACGUAGGCGGCUUUGUAAGUUAGAGGUGAAAGCCCGGAGCUCAACUCCGGAAUUGCCUUUAAGACUGCAUCGCUUGAAUCAUGGAGAGGUGAGUGGAAUUCCGAGUGUAGAGGUGAAAUUCGUAGAUAUUCGGAAGAACACCAGUGGCGAAGGCGACUCACUGGACAUGUAUUGACGCUGAGGUGCGAAAGCGUGGGGAGCAAACAGGA